This 496-nucleotide ribosomal RNA is filed under the name uncultured bacterium. RNAcentral's name for it is "partial 16S ribosomal RNA". It matches the Rfam family "Bacterial small subunit ribosomal RNA", at positions 28 to 506 of the family's 1533-position model. The record is from RNAcentral.
GAUGAACGCUGGCGGCGUGCCUAAUACAUGCAAGUCGAGCGAACGGACGAGAAGCUUGCUUCUCUGAUGUUAGCGGCGGACGGGUGAGUAACACGUGGAUAACCUACCUAUAAGACUGGGAUAACUUCGGGAAACCGGAGCUAAUACCGGAUAAUAUUUUGAACCGCAUGGUUCAAAAGUGAAAGACGGUCUUGCUGUCACUUAUAGAUGGAUCCGCGCUGCAUUAGCUAGUUGGUAAGGUAACGGCUUACCAAGGCAACGAUGCAUAGCCGACCUGAGAGGGGGAUCGGCCACACUGGAACUGAGACACGGUCCAGACUCCUACGGGAGGCAGCAGUAGGGAAUCUUCCGCAAUGGGCGAAAGCCUGACGGAGCAACGCCGCGUGAGUGAUGAAGGGCUUCGGAUCGUAAAACUCUGUUAUUAGGGAAGAACAUAUGUGUAAGUAACUGUGCACAUCUUGACGGUACCUAAUCAGAAAGCCACGGCUAACUACGU